GACUGACACUCCUACGGGAGGCAGCAUGGGGGAAUAUUGCACAAUGGGCGAAAGCCUGAUGCAGCCAUGCCGCGUGUGUGAAGAAGGCCUUCGGGUUGUAAAGCACUUUCAGCGAGGAGGAAAGGUUGACGGUUAAUACCCGUCAGCUGUGACGUUACUCGCAGAAGAAGCACCGGCUAACUCCGUGCCAGCAGCCGCGGUAAUACGGAGGGUGCGAGCGUUAAUCGGAAUUACUGGGCGUAAAGCGCAUGCAGGCGGCCAAGUCAGUCAGAUGUGAAAGCCCCCGGCUUAACCUGGGAAUUGCAUUUGAAACUGCUUGGCUAGAGUCCUUGAGGAGGGGGGUAGAAUUUCAGGUGUAGCGGUGAAAUGCGUAGAGAUCUGAAGGAAUACCAGUGGCGAAGGCCGGCCCCCCUGGCAAGAGACUGACGCUCAGAUGCGAAAAGCGUGGGGACGCAAACAGGAUUAGACUACCCUGGUAG
RNAcentral lists this ribosomal RNA (479 nucleotides) under uncultured bacterium. RNAcentral describes it as "bacterial SSU rRNA". It matches the Rfam family "Bacterial small subunit ribosomal RNA", at positions 328 to 793 of the family's 1533-position model. The record is from RNAcentral.